RNAcentral lists this ribosomal RNA (253 nucleotides) under uncultured bacterium. RNAcentral describes it as "partial 16S ribosomal RNA". It matches the Rfam family "Bacterial small subunit ribosomal RNA", at positions 99 to 353 of the family's 1533-position model. The record is from RNAcentral.
CGGACGGGCGAGUAAUGUCUGGGAAACUGCCUGAUGGAGGGGGAUAACUACUGGAAACGGUAGCUAAUACCGCAUAAUGUCGCAAGACCAAAGAGGGGGACCUUCGGGCCUCUUGCCAUCGGAUGUGCCCAGAUGGGAUUAGCUUGUUGGUGGGGUAACGGCUCACCAAGGCGACGAUCCCUAGCUGGUCUGAGAGGAUGACCAGCCACACUGGAACUGAGACACGGUCCAGACUCCUACGGGAGGCAGCAUG